GACGAACGCUGGCGGCGUGCUUAACACAUGCAAGUCGAACGGAAAGGCCCUGCUUUUGUGGGGUGCUCGAGUGGCGAACGGGUGAGUAACACGUGAGUAACCUGCCCUUGACUUUGGGAUGACUUCAGGAAACUGGGGCUAAUACCGGAUAGGAGCUCCUGCUGCAUGGGGGGGGUUGGAAAGUUUCGGCGGUUGGGGAUGGACUCGCGGCUUAUCAGCUUGUUGGUGGGGUAGUGGCUUACCAAGGCUUUGACGGGUAGCCGGCCUGAGAGGGUGACCGGCCACAUUGGGACUGAGAUACGGACCAGACUCCUACGGGAGGCAGCAGUGGGGAAUAUUGCACAAUGAGCGGAAGCCUGAUGCAGCAACGCCGCGUGCGGGAUGACGGCCUUCGGGUUGUAAACCGCUUUCGCCUGUGACGAAGCGUGAGUGACGGUAAUGGGUAAAGAAGCACCGGCUAACUACGUG
RNAcentral lists this ribosomal RNA (468 nucleotides) under uncultured bacterium. Its description in RNAcentral is "partial 16S ribosomal RNA". It matches the Rfam family "Bacterial small subunit ribosomal RNA", at positions 28 to 507 of the family's 1533-position model. The record is from RNAcentral.